Molecule: ribosomal RNA, 927 nt
Filed under: Proasellus ebrensis
Lineage: Eukaryota; Metazoa; Arthropoda; Malacostraca; Isopoda; Asellidae
Description: bacterial LSU rRNA
Rfam family: Bacterial large subunit ribosomal RNA
Source: RNAcentral
CAAGGAGAAGCUCUUGAUCGAAGCCCCAGUAAACGGCGGCCGUAACAAUAACGGUCCUAAGGUAGCGAAAUUCCUUGUCGGGUAAGUUCCGACCUGCACGAAUGGCGUAACGAUGGCCACACUGUCUCCUCCGCAGACUCAGCGAAGUUGAAAUGUUUGUGAUGAUGCAAUCUACCCGCGGCUAGACGGAAAGACCCCAUGAACCUUUACUGUAGCUUUGCAUUGGACUUUGAACCAAUCUGUGUAGGAUAGGUGGGAGGCGAUGAAACCGUGGCGCCAGCUGCGGUGGAGCCAACCUUGAAAUACCACCCUGGUUUGUUUGAGGUUCUAACCUUGGUCCGUUAUCCGGAUCGGGGACAGUGCAUGGUAGGCAGUUUGACUGGGGCGGUCUCCUCCCAAAGUGUAACGGAGGAGUUCGAAGGUACGCUAGGUACGGUCGGACAUCGUGCUAAUAGUGCAAUGGCAUAAGCGUGCUUAACUGCGAGACUGACAAGUCGAGCAGGUACGAAAGUAGGACAUAGUGAUCCGGUGGUUCUGUAUGGAAGGGCCAUCGCUCAACGGAUAAAAGGUACGGCUGUUCGCCGUUUAAAGUGGUACGCGAGCUGGGUUUAGAACGUCGUGAGACAGUUCGGUCCCUAUCUGCCGUGGGCGUUGGAAGAUUGAGGGGGGCUGCUCCUAGUACGAGAGGACCGGAGUGGACGAACCUCUGGUGUUCGGGUUGUUACGCCAGUAGCAUUGCCCGGUAGCUAAGUUCGGAAUCAAUAAACGCUGAAAGCAUCUAAGCGUGAAGUGAGCCCCAAGAUGAGUCUUCCCUGAAGCUUUAAGCUUCUUAAAGGGUUGUUCAAGACCAGGACGUUGAUAGGUCUGAUGUGUAAGUAUAGUGAUAUAUUGAGCUAACAGAUACUAAUUGCCCGUACUCUGCGUUGA